MicroRNA precursor from Loxodonta africana (African savanna elephant), 120 nucleotides. The record is from Ensembl. Lineage: Eukaryota; Metazoa; Chordata; Mammalia; Proboscidea; Elephantidae.
CAACACGUUCAGCUAUACUGUGUGCAGUGCCCUACUCGGGAAGGUGCCUUCACAAAGAUGAUAUAUGUAUGGCACCUUUCUGAGUAGAGUAAUGUGCAACAUAAACAACAUUCGUGUCGG